Molecule: transfer RNA, 72 nt
Filed under: Heterocephalus glaber (naked mole-rat)
Lineage: Eukaryota; Metazoa; Chordata; Mammalia; Rodentia; Bathyergidae
Rfam family: tRNA
About the family: Transfer RNA (tRNA) molecules are approximately 80 nucleotides in length. Their secondary structure includes four short double-helical elements and three loops (D, anti-codon, and T loops).
Source: Rfam by way of RNAcentral
GGGAGUGUAGCUUAGUGGUAGACUGAGCCCUUAGCAUGGGCAAGGUCUGUGGUUCAAUCCCCAGCACUCCCA